RNAcentral lists this ribosomal RNA (478 nucleotides) under uncultured bacterium. RNAcentral's name for it is "partial 16S ribosomal RNA". It matches the Rfam family "Bacterial small subunit ribosomal RNA", at positions 28 to 507 of the family's 1533-position model. The record is from RNAcentral.
GAUGAACGCUGGCGGCGUGCUUAACACAUGCAAGUCGAACGAGAAGUGGAGACGGAAACCUUCGGGCGGAAGACUUUAUUUCGAGUGGCGGACGGGUGAGUAACGCGUGGGUAACCUGCCUCAUACAGGGGGAUAACAGUUGGAAACGACUGAUAAUACCGCAUAAGACCACAGCACCGCAUGGUGCGGGGGUAAAAACUCCGGUGGUAUGAGAUGGACCCGCGUUCGAUUAGCCAGUUGGCGGGGUAACGGCCCACCAAAGCGACGAUCGAUAGCCGAUCUGAGAGGAUGACCGGCCACAUUGGGACUGAGACACGGCCCAAACUCCUACGGGAGGCAGCAGUGGGGAAUAUUGCACAAUGGGGGAAACCCUGAUGCAGCGACGCCGCGUGAGUGAAGAAGUAUUUCGGUAUGUAAAGCUCUAUCAGCAGGGAAGAAAAUGACGGUACCUGAGUAAGAAGCCCCGGCUAACUACGUG